UGUUAUUAUUAAUUAAGAUGUAGGUUAGGUUAUUGUUUUCAUCCAUUGUCAUCACAGGCUAUUAUGAAUAAACAUAUUCGUACAUCGUAAUGUAGCAGUAGAAAAUCCGAAAAGGGCAGUAUAAGCCCCAUGUCAUUGAUUAUAUACUUAUAUAAUCAAUGCCCAUGUUCACAAAUCGUAACCCAAGACAUUUCAAAUACCUACGAAUCACUCAUAAACGGGACGGCUACUACGGUGAUAAAACUGGGACGAUCCUACUGGCAUAAGUACACAAAUUUGGUUUCCUACCGCCUCCAAUAAGACAGUCCGAUCGUAUAUAACAACCGACACAAACAGGCCGUCACGUAACUGCAUUGUUAGUGCACCACAUCAACGGACCAACACUCACCGAGAGCAAGAAGGAAUGGGCCAUCAAAAUUAGGCUGUAUAAGACCAUGCACCAAGUCGUUCACGUACGUGAACGUCCCUGCAUUAAAUUUAUGUUUGCUACUUGUAGGUUUCAGUUCUUCGUACAAAGAUGCCUUGCAAGUGGUCGUGCCAUUGCAAACCCGAAUGCAACGGCAGUAAGAUCACAAAGUUUCUAACGUGCUACAAGAUUUCGGUUUGAAGUUGUCUGAGCCGGAGCAGUACAAGACGACAUUGCCAUAGACAAGAGAAAGAUUACCAAAACCGUGGGAUAUAAUCGAAUAAAAGCCGAUUUACAGUUACUCAAGUCACGUUGCGGUCAAUUAUUACAGUCUGUAUUUCUUAAGGCCAAUUCACUAUAACUAAGGUGCACUUUUUUAUUAUUGUGUAGUUUAUUAUUAUUUAAUGUUUAACAUAUUAGUAAGCAAUAAAAAGUUUACAUAUUUA
Molecule: long non-coding RNA, 852 nt
Organism: Photinus pyralis (common eastern firefly)
Lineage: Eukaryota; Metazoa; Arthropoda; Insecta; Coleoptera; Lampyridae
Exons: 2
Source: RefSeq, a predicted model, not a curated record